This is a long non-coding RNA of Nycticebus coucang (slow loris), 5012 nucleotides long. RefSeq lists it as uncharacterized. NCBI's taxonomy places the organism in Eukaryota, Metazoa, Chordata, Mammalia, Primates, Lorisidae. The record is from RefSeq and is a predicted model, not a curated record. The transcript has 7 exons.
GCCGGGCCGCGAGCGCCAGGGCUCUGGCGGCGGCCUCCCUGGGGGAUUUGCCGAGCGCGGCGGGCGGCGCGUAGUGCCCCGGCCGGCCGGCCGCUUCCCGCCUGCCCGGGUCGCCGGCCCCCGUGCCCCCACCCCCCGCCGCCCGGGAACCCAGCUAGCUGCUCUGGCGGCUCAGGGCUGCCUGGGAGCCGAGAGUCUUGUUUGUUGUCGCCCCCGCCCUCUCGGCCCUUCCCGCGUCCCGGAGGCCUGGCACACAUUUCGCAGACACUUCAUUCCUUCCUUCCUCCGAGCUUCCCACUGAGAUAAUGUCAGUGAUUUCAGCAGAUCUUGUCCCGAAUGAGAUUCAGUGGUUCCUGACUUUGGGUGACCUUGGGCAAGCCGUCUCUUUCGUUAUGGAACGCACACUCAUCGCUAGACUCUGUGUUAAACCCUGGGAUUACCACGAUGAGAGAUACAGUGGCAGCCUGCAAGAAGUUUAUAGACAGCCACUGAUUUUCUGACAGAUGACCAGGCAUUUCUCUAUUUUACCUUUCUGUUAGGGUACUUUAGAUGAUGGCUGGACGAUUGGGAAGUCCUAAACAAAAUGUGAAACAUCAUCUGUGUGGACAGCAGUAUUGUUGGUCCAUCUGGGGUUACAGGAAGCCCUCAGCCUAAAGAUACAUAUACUCAUGAGUACAUCUAGGGAUUUCCCAGGAGAUUCCUCCAGGCGGUCCUAGGUUAAAGAGAGAUGGAUGUCUAGAUAGAGGUAUGAUGCUAUGGAAAUUACUUGUAUGUUGGGGUGCCUUGGAAACUUCCUGGCGGACGUGGCCUGUAUGUCUUAAAAAUAGAUAGGAUUGGCAAUGUGCUGAGUCAUGGGCUGGGACAGACAGAAUUACCCAUGGCAUUGACGACCAAGACUCUGGAACCUAAGGUCUUUAUUUAAGGGACAUGCUCUAGAGCCCAUACUAAGUGAAGGGGCUGGAGGAGGAAGCUUGAAACCCUGUCUUGAGCCCCUUAAACAUCUUGCUAAAAGACUUUGGACCUUAUCUUUAGACAAUGGAGAGCCACAAAAUGUUCUUAAGUAGAGAAGGGACAUCAGGGUUCCCCUUUAGAAAGAUAGCUCUGGCAAAACUGUGGAGACUGGAUUGCAGGGUUUGGAGGCAGAGAGGUCAGUCAGGAGGCCCAAACUAGUAAAGAAGGCUCCUAGGUGACAGGUGCAAGGUGACACCCACCUUCUCAGGUCCAGCUCACUUGGGGGUUGACUACCCAUUGUCCAGUGACCCAAAUUCAACAGAAACCUGCCUACACUUUAAUGCACUGUUCCUUGUUCCCCCACCACUCCACUUGGGUUUUAACUAAAAAAUAAUCAUGGGUCUUCCCAUAUUAACCGCCUAAGCCUCAUUUCUGCCUUCCAGGAGAGCCCUCAUCUGCAGACAAAAAAUUUACUUCAUUGCAGGUUUGAUUCACUUUUGCCGGUUGGGCUACUCUGGGAUUGUGUGUGUGUGUUUUCUUAACACACUGCAGAGUGGGCUGUGCCCUGUCAUGUUCUGAAGAAAUGAUAAACAGUGCUUCCUUUGUUGACCUGCAACCUGGGCAUUAUGAGAUUCCCUCCAGCCUGCCAGAGACGUGGUUGCUGCAUUGCCAAGAGCUAUCCUGGGAGGGCUAUUGAAAGAGCCUUGAUCCUUUCAGAGACCGUGAGAAAAUAAAGCCCAAGAUAGAAGAGACAUGUUUGCUGUCUCUCCAAGGCAGCCGCCAGCUUCCUGCAGUCCAGGAGAAGGUCCACAGCUUUCAGCAGAAUUACAAAACUUUUGGAGACUAGAAAUGGUUAAAGCAAGCUGAUCGAGUCAAUCUGCACUUACUGUAAUCCAGAGAGGAAGGGGGAAGUCUGCCUUAAAGUGGAGCUGACAGCAAAGGAGGGUAGAGUCAAGAGAUGAAGGCACCUGACAGGCCUCAGAAAGGGGAUUCAAAGGGAACACCAGGAGCCCAUCCAGAAGUAGUGCAUUUAGAGGCCGUGUCUCUUCGGUGUUCUGCACUUGAUGACAAUCCUGAAGUCUUUCCUCACCUCUCAUGACACCUGUAAGAGGAUUAGUCAGCUGUUUUGUAGAAAGCCCUUUCACAUAGGUUUGUGUGAUGUUUCCUCAUGUUUGUAGAGAGCAGAUGCAUUCCUGGGAAGGACACCACAGAGAGGCAUCACAUUGGGGGUGCGCGAUGCCACUUUAUUUCACUGUUGACAUUAACCAUGGUCAUUUGGUGAAGGUGAUUUCUGUCAGGAUAGUUCACUGUAAAGUUAUAAUUUUUCCCUUUGUACUUCCUAAAUAUUUGUAUCAGGUGGUGGCAGGGGGAGGUAGGAGAGUAGACUAUGCAAAUCGGCUGUUUCUGCUUAUAUGUCUGACUAUCAAAUUUAGAAUCCAUCAGAGGAUUUUGCCUGUGGCAGUUACGACUGUGGUGAUCUAAUGGCCAGGAUGGAAGGACCACUGUGGAAUAGGACACCGCCCAGAUUGUUCAGAAGGCUACGUCAGGGUUCCAAAAUAAGGAAGCAGAAGAAUGGAAGCAGAGUUUGAAAGCUUAAUUGCAGUUGCCGUAUCACUGGGCUGGAAAAGACCCAGAAAGUCAUUGAGUCCCCUCCCCUGCCAUCCAGGAAUGAGAAGGACAGUGCCUGCCCCCACCUAGGGCUGGAUAUGAGUGAUGCUUCCUGCCAGGAAAUGCAGUGUGGGGACAGAGAGGAGGCUGCAGGAAAGGAGUUGGUCUGGGGAGACCAGAGAGCGUGAAACUAUCUUCUCGUCCACUUUACCCAUGAGAUGGUACCGAAAACUUUGGACUGGAAAUAAAAGAAGGACCCAAGUUCUAGUCCCUGCCUCUGCCAUAGACUCAUUAUACAUGGCCUUGGAGAAGGUGUGUGUUCACUGCCACCUCCUUGGGGUCAGCUUCUAGGGAGUCUAGGCUUUCAGGCCAUGCCCAGAGGAGUUUCCUCCCUAGGAGCAUGGGACUCGGCCUGGAAGUGGUGCUGAGAAGGAGGGCCUUUUGUAAACUCUUCAUCCUUCUACCAGAAUGGUUCUGCUUUCACUUGUUCACACAUUACAUAGCCGCGUAAGAAUGUGGUCAGAGAAAGGGUUCCAUUGAUUUUUGUUUAAGUUUGAAAAUCACCAACUAAAAUUCUCUCAAAAACCCUGCCCAGCUUGAAAAUCUUUCCUUAUGCCUUCUUCAUAGUGUUUGGACUUUGUCUCCUUGGCCAGGUAGCACGUUGUUCUUUAAUCAUUUGUGUUUGUUUUUUUCUUCCGAAAGGUUUCCUACAGCCCAAUUCCACAAAUGAGUAUGUGGGACCUAUUACAGAGGCUGCCUGGGACAAGGUACCUGGUGGCCCUCAAACUGCUCAUACUUUAGUAGUGUGGGCUGCAGACAGGUGGACAAAGAAUGAUGGAACUGCAUAGUGUUUUACUUUGAAUAUUCUUUACCAAUCACAGAGACCUUGCCUCAUCCCUCUCACCCAAAGCCAGCAUAACUAGGACACUUAAUAGAUGCUUAGUUAAUAUUCGCUGAAAGAAUUGAUGCAUGAAUGGCUUGUUUCUCUCUUUGGGAGGAAUCACUGAUACAUAAGUAGCUUUGCUGAUGCUGACAGGUGCAGGUAGAGGCUGCGAGCUCUGUAUUUUCCUUUUAUGAGCAGGUCUGGUCAUAGCUGCUGGGUAUUGUCACCUGUUACAGGUUACGUUAUGUCCCCCGAAAAGAUAUUCAUUCUUCAGACUCAGAACCUCAGAAUGUGACCUUAUUUGGAAAUAAGGUCAUUGCAGAUGUAGGUAAUUAAAUGAGGUCCUAAUGGAAUAGGAUAGGCUCUUAAUCCAGUAUGACCUGGGUCAUUUAAAUAGGAGAAGAGACAGAGAUCCAGACCCUGAGGGAACAAUGCCAUGUGCUGAUGGAGUCAGAAACUGGAGUGAUGUAGCUGCUGCUGGCCAAGGAAUGCCAAGGAUUGCUGGCAACCCUCAGGAACUAGGGAGAGGCAAGGAAGGAGACUCCUCUGCAAGUUUCAGAGGGAGAGUGGCCCUGCUGACACCUUGAUUUUAGUCUCCAGAACUGUGAGACAAUACAUUUUUGUUGUUUUAAGUCACCCGGUUUGUAGCACUUUGAUAUGGCAGCCCUAGGAAGACAAUACCUCACUCUAUAAUCAAAUAUGAUGCUUACAAAGAAAAUCUGUAACCUCUCUUUUCUUUAACCCCUAUGAAAUAGUCAAAGGAAAAUAUGCUUGCCAUGAAUUUACAUUUCUGAAGCAUUAAUUAUAGUCUCAUUAAAAUAUUUCAUGUUUUUGAAGCUGUAAAAUCUUUGUGUGUUGGGUCCUAGGAGUAGUACAUAUUGGGUGGCAAGAUAAACCAAUCAAGAAAUAAACAACUUCCUGCCCAAACAGAAAAAAUCUCCACGAAUUCCCUCUUUCCCCUAAUCUUUUUGGAAAUAAAUUUGCUGAGAAUUGGCUGUUUCAUUUGACUUGAAAGUUUGAACACUGGUUCAGUCUGAGGGUGAGUUUCACCUUCCCUGAUUGUGUAGAUUAAAUAGGAUGUAGCAUCAUUUUUCACCUCUGUGAAGAAACCAUGUUACUUGCUUCUGAAUCUUUGCGUUUUUUUCUGUUGACCCAUCUUCCCGGGGACAGCUUUCCAGCCCCGUUUCUUCUUGGGUGCUCUUGGCCAAAGCCACAGUCUGACAGAUGGGAAGGUCGGCCCCUCUCUCUCCAUCUCCAUGGAGAUGCAGGAAUUUUUAGGACCCACCUCUUUUUUGGUUAUUGAAUAACUGGUGGGGCAUCGAGUGUCAGGCCUAAGAGAACAGUAGGGCCUACCUGUUGGGCUGAAUGACCUCAUAGCUGAGCUGUUCCCAUGGUGUUGGCUUGCACUGUCAGCGAUUCUUUCUUCACAAGCCAAACUUAAAUCAUACUAUUCUAAAACCUAACCUGAUCGUUGUCACUGGGUGUACAACACACGAAUGACAGCAGCUUAAGGCUCUGAUUAAGCCUGGGGCAGUCUUGCAUGAGGGGGUAAAAGGUCUUUUAUUUCCUG